CUCCAGACUCCUACGGGAGGCAGCAGUGGGGAAUAUUGGGCAAUGGGCGCAAGCCUGACCCAGCAACGCCGCGUGAAGGAAGAAGGCUUUCGGGUUGUAAACUUCUUUUAAGAGGGAAGAGAAGAAGACGGUACCUCUUGAAUAAGCCACGGCUAACUACGUGCCAGCAGCCGCGGUAAUACGUAGGUGGCAAGCGUUGUCCGGAUUUACUGGGUGUAAAGGGCGUGCAGCCGGGCUGACAAGUCAGAUGUGAAAUCCCGCGGCUCAACCGCGGAACUGCAUUUGAAACUGUCAGUCUUGAGUACCGGAGAGGUCAUCGGAAUUCCUUGUGUAGCGGUGAAAUGCGUAGAUAUAAGGAGGAACACCGGCGGCGAAGGCGGCCUGCUGGACCGUGACUGACGUUGAGGCUCGAGAGCGUGGGGAGCAAACAGGAUUAGAUACCCCGGUAA
This 449-nucleotide ribosomal RNA is filed under the name uncultured bacterium. Its description in RNAcentral is "bacterial SSU rRNA". It matches the Rfam family "Bacterial small subunit ribosomal RNA", at positions 329 to 793 of the family's 1533-position model. The record is from RNAcentral.